Molecule: ribosomal RNA, 500 nt
Filed under: uncultured Glomeromycotina
Lineage: Eukaryota; Fungi; Glomeromycota
Description: partial small subunit ribosomal RNA
Rfam family: Eukaryotic small subunit ribosomal RNA
Source: RNAcentral
CCAAUAGCGUAUAUUAAAGUUGUUGCAGUUAAAAAGCUCGUAGUUGAAUUUCGAGAUCCGUACGCUGGUCGUGCCUUCGGUAUGCACUGGUGUCACUGGUUUCUCCCUUCUGAAGAACCGUCAUGUCAUUAAGUUGGUGUGGCGGGGAAUCAGGACUGUUACUUUGAAAAAAUUAGAGUGUUUAAAGCAGGCUCGCGCUUGAAUACAUUAGCAUGGAAUAAUGAAAUAGGACGUUUGACCCUAUUUUGUUGGUUUCUAGGAUCGACGUAAUGAUUAAUAGGGAUAGUUGGGGGCAUUAGUAUUCAAUUGUCAGAGGUGAAAUUCUUGGAUUUAUUGAAGACUAACUACUGCGAAAGCAUUUGCCAAGGAUGUUUUCAUUAAUCAAGAACGAAAGUUAGGGGAUCGAAGACGAUCAGAUACCGUCGUAGUCUUAACCAUAAACUAUGCCGACUAGGGAUCGGAUGAUGUUAAUUUUUUAAUGACUCAUUCGGCGCCUUACG